Molecule: ribosomal RNA, 465 nt
Filed under: uncultured bacterium
Lineage: Bacteria
Description: partial 16S ribosomal RNA
Rfam family: Bacterial small subunit ribosomal RNA
Source: RNAcentral
GACGAACGCUGGCGGCGUGCUUAACACAUGCCAGUCGAACGGAAAGGCCCCUUUGGGGGUACUCGAGUGGCGAACGGGUGAGUAACACGUGAGUAACCUGCCCUUGACUUCGGGAUAACUUCAGGAAACUGGGGCUAAUACCGGAUAGGAAUCCUUGCUGCAUGGUGGGGGUUGGAAAGCUUCGGCGGUUUUGGAUGGACUCGCGGCUUAUCAGCUUGUUGGUGGGGUAGUGGCUUACCAAGGCUUUGACGGGUAGCCGGCCUGAGAGGGCGACCGGCCACAGUGGGACUGAGAUACGGCCCAGACUCCUACGGGAGGCAGCAGUGGGGAAUAUUGCACAAUGGGCGGAAGCCUGAUGCAGCAACGCCGCGGGCGGGAGGACGGCCUUCGGGUUGUAAACCGCUUUCAGCAGGGGCGAAGCUUGUGGUGACGGUACCUGCAGAAGAAGCACCGGCUAACUACGUG